Long non-coding RNA from Pygocentrus nattereri (red-bellied piranha), 670 nucleotides. RefSeq lists it as uncharacterized. The transcript is spliced from 5 exons. The record is from RefSeq and is a predicted model, not a curated record. Lineage: Eukaryota; Metazoa; Chordata; Actinopteri; Characiformes; Serrasalmidae.
GAUGAAGUUUGCAUUUGAGGACAUUUGGUUGUGUCCUGUAAACACUGGUGCACACUGGAUUCUAGUGAUUAUCGACAUGUCAGCAAAAACUGUGGUGCUUAUUGACCCUCUUGGAAAUGAAUGUUCAUAUGAGCGCAAGUUUCUGCGUAACUGGAGGAACUUUCUGAAGACAAUGGCACAUAACUCGCAGAGAGCUAAGUGGCAAAUAAGACCAUGCAGCACAACAGACAGAGGGAUGGAAGUAGUUGUGGAGUUUUAGUACUGAAGUUUGCAGAACAUUUCCUUCUGACUGGUAGAAUUGAUGGAGUUGAAACCACAUCGCUUGCUGUGAGUGCUGCACGGAUGGACAUUGCCUGUUCACUCCUUAAAUGUCGAGGUGCAGUGUGACCAGUGUAGUGGUCAAAUUGAUCGAUUCAGUAGGAAAUCCCGGGAAAUACACGUGCGAAUUUUUUUCAAGUGUCAACGCGAAACGUAUAAACUCAGCCAUGGAACACAACUAUAUUAGGCCUAUAUUAAGGGACUAAUUCAAAAGCAAAAAUUCUUUGACAGUAAUGAAGAUCAGGGUUAUAUGAGACGUAUAUCUGCGCCCAGGGGCCAACAAGUUAUGUGUUAAGUGUGUCGCAUACAUAGCACCCCCACCCUGCUCACCUCCCGAGCAGAGAAAAAAAGU